AGUGGCGAACGGGUGAGUAACGCGUGGGUCACCUGCCCCGAGAUGGGGGAUAACCCGGGGAAACCCGGGCUAAUACCGCAUAAGCCUUAAGAGGGAAAGCCUUCGGGUGUCUUGGGAGGGGCCUGCGUCCGAUUAGCUAGUAGGUGGGGUAAGAGCUCACCUAGGCUACGAUCGGUAACCGGUCUGAGAGGACGGACGGUCACACUGGGACUGAGACACGGCCCAGACUCCUACGGGAGGCAGCAGUGGGGAAUUUUGCGCAAUGGGGGAAACCCUGACGCAGCAACGCCGCGUGGAGGAAGAAGGUUUUCGAAUCGUAAACUCCUGUCCGGAGGGAAGAAAAAAAUGACGGUACCUCUGGAGGAAGCCCCGGCUAACUCCGUGCCAGCAGCCGCGGUAAUACGGGGGGGGCUAGCGUUGUUCGGAUUUACUGGGCGUAAAGGGCGCGUAGGCGGUGGGAGAAGUUUUUGGGUGAAAGCCCCCGGCUCAACCGGGGAAGUGCCUGGAAAACCAUCUGACUAGAGUGCUGGAGAGGCAAGCGGAAUUUCUGGUGUAGCGGUGAAAUGCGUAGAUAUCAGAAGGAACAUCGGAGGCGAAGGCGGCUUGCUGGACAGACACUGACGCUGAGGCGCGAAAGCUAGGGGAGCAAACGGGAUUAGAUACCCCGGUAGUCCUAGCCGUAAACGAUGGGUACUG
RNAcentral lists this ribosomal RNA (696 nucleotides) under uncultured bacterium. RNAcentral describes it as "bacterial SSU rRNA". It matches the Rfam family "Bacterial small subunit ribosomal RNA", at positions 94 to 818 of the family's 1533-position model. The record is from RNAcentral.